GCAGGAGUUCCCGAGCGGUCAAAGGGGCGGGACUUAAGAUCCCGUGGCUUAGUGCCUUCACAGGUUCGAAUCCUGUCUCCUGCA
RNAcentral lists this transfer RNA (84 nucleotides) under Candidatus Iainarchaeum sp. RNAcentral's name for it is "tRNA-Leu". It matches the Rfam family "tRNA". Rfam says of the family: Transfer RNA (tRNA) molecules are approximately 80 nucleotides in length. Their secondary structure includes four short double-helical elements and three loops (D, anti-codon, and T loops). Further hydrogen bonds mediate the characteristic L-shaped molecular structure. tRNAs have two regions of fundamental functional importance: the anti-codon, which is responsible for specific mRNA codon recognition, and the 3' end, to which the tRNAs corresponding amino acid is attached (by aminoacyl-tRNA synthetases). tRNAs cope with the degeneracy of the genetic code in two manners: having more than one tRNA (with a specific anti-codon) for a particular amino acid; and 'wobble' base-pairing, i.e. permitting non-standard base-pairing at the 3rd anti-codon position. The record is from RNAcentral. Lineage: Archaea; Nanobdellati; Candidatus Iainarchaeota; Candidatus Iainarchaeia; Candidatus Iainarchaeales; Candidatus Iainarchaeaceae.